RNAcentral lists this unclassified non-coding RNA (216 nucleotides) under root metagenome. RNAcentral describes it as "partial contains small subunit ribosomal RNA, internal transcribed spacer 1, and 5.8S ribosomal RNA". The record is from RNAcentral.
UCUCCGUUGGUGAACCAGCGGAGGGAUCAUUACCGAGUUUACAACUCCCAAACCCCUGUGAACAUACCUUACUGUUGCCUCGGCGGAUCAGCCCGCUCCCGGUAAAACGGGACGGCCCGCCAGAGGACCCCUAAACUCUUGUGUUUUUUUCAGUAUUCUCUGAGUGGCAAACGCAAAAAUAAAUCAAAACUUUUAACAACGGAUCUCUUGGCUCUG